RNAcentral lists this ribosomal RNA (242 nucleotides) under uncultured bacterium. Its description in RNAcentral is "partial 16S ribosomal RNA". It matches the Rfam family "Bacterial small subunit ribosomal RNA", at positions 1259 to 1500 of the family's 1533-position model. The record is from RNAcentral.
GAGGUUUAGCAAAUCUCUUAAAGCCGUUCUCAGUUCGGAUUGUAGGCUGCAACUCGCCUACAUGAAGUCGGAAUCGCUAGUAAUCGCGGAUCAGCAUGCCGCGGUGAAUACGUUCCCGGGCCUUGUACACACCGCCCGUCACACCAUGAGAGUUUGUAACACCCAAAGCCGGUGGGGUAACCUUUUGGAGCCAGCCGUCUAAGGUGGGACAGAUGAUUAGGGUGAAGUCGUAACAAGGUAUC